Molecule: long non-coding RNA, 2051 nt
Organism: Salvelinus fontinalis (brook trout)
Lineage: Eukaryota; Metazoa; Chordata; Actinopteri; Salmoniformes; Salmonidae
Exons: 6
Source: RefSeq, a predicted model, not a curated record
UUAACUGACUUGCCUAGUAAAAUAAAAAAAAAUCUUUCAUAUCAGCGAGAAAUAACUUUCUAAAGACAAAAGUUUACAUUUCUAAAUACCUUCAUAGGGUUAGUGUUCCCACACAGCCAUAUCUCCACGUUACAUCACUUGUUUACGGAAGUCAGAUGGACGACACAGACGGCCACCUGUUCUAGUUAGCUAUCUAGCGUGCUCGGGAACACCUGUGUGUAAGCGUAACAGGGAGGAAAUGUAGUUUGUCAACUGGAGGACCACACAGCUCUGUGCACAACUUCUACAAGGAAGGCCACCAAUAACACCUUCUGGAUCUUCACUGGCCGCCAAUACACAGUUGAGAUCCUUUGAAAGGGACUCUUCAUGAACAUUGGCCAAAGAGCGCUAGAGUCCACUUUGGUAUGGAUGGCUCUAUGCGAAUUAACCCCACUGAGCAAAAUCAGAAAGGGAUCAUCCCCCCCUGUGCUGGAGAUCCACCUCACCAAUGACAUAGUCUGCGUCUUUGACUCCACUGUGGAAAUCACCUAUGGGGAUAUACUGGGCUAAUUCACACUGGGCUGGAACAAAGCCUGCAAUCUCAGCAGCCUUCGAGGAUUGCAGUUGCUUAUCCCUGCCACAAAGCACUACUCUUUUGUUCUUGGCAUGAACCCAUAUAGUUCCAGCUUCUCCCACGCGAAGGAGAUGGUGAGGAGGCAGAGCUGUAGGUGCUGUACUCCUAGACCAGGCCAUCCUACCAGGAGUGGGUUACGUCAUUAAGAACAAAACCCUGUUUUACCCCGGUCUUCACCCUUCUAUUAAGGUCAAGCAACUCAUGGAAAACAAGGUCCACCAUUUUGUGAAAAUGACAUAAGAUUUCACUCUUCUAUUUUACAAGAUCAAGCUGUCACGUUGUUUCAUUCAGGCGACAGCCACAUAGUGGACAUGAAGGCUUGAUGAGGAUGGCGGAGGUGGUGAUGGGACCGCAGACUGCACCAUGAAAAAUUCAAAGACCUCAAGCUGCAGCAAAUGAGGGUACGUUUAAGGUGUGUGUGAGUGAGGAAGAGAACAUGUGUGUGUGCGUGUGCACACGUGAUGCAGUUUUACUGAGUUACAGCAUUGUUUAUGUAGAUCCGUCUGACACUAUAAUGAGCAUUACUUGAUUGAAUGUAAAGUAUCAUGCAGUCAUGUUGUCAGUGGUGGAAAAAGUAUUCAAUUCUAAAACUUUAGUAAAAGUAAAGAUACCUUAAUAGAAAAAGAGAAAGUCAACCAGUAAAAUACUACUUGAGUAAAAGUCGAAAAGUAUUUGGUUUUAAAUAUACUUUUACAAUCAAAAGUAAAUGUAGUUGCUAAAAUAUACUUAAGUAUCAAAAAUAAAAGUAAAAGGAUGAAUCAUUUAAAAUUCCUUAUUUUAAGCAAACCAGACGGCACAAUUUUUUAUUCAUUUUUAUUUACGGAUAACAAAGGUAUUUGUGUUUAGUGAGUCCGCCAGAUCAGAGGCAUUAGGGAUGACCAGGGAUGUGAUAAGUGUGCGAAUUGGGCCCUUUUCUGUCCUGCUAAACAUUCAAAAUGUAACAAGUACUUUUGUAUGGAGUAAAAAGUACAUUAUUUUCUUUAGGAAUCUCGUGAAGUAAAAGUUGUCAAAAAUAUAAAUAGUAAAGUAAUGUACAGAUACCAAAAAAUCUACUUAAGUUGUCACAUGAUCUGUUUCACCUGUCCUUGUGCUUGUCUCCUCCCCCUCCAGGUGUCACCCAUCUUCCCUACUUAUCCCCUUGGUAUUUAAACCUGUGUUUUCUGUCUGUCUGUGUCAGUUCGUCUUGUUUUGUCAAGUCAACCAGUGUGUUUCUCCGUACGCCUGCUUUUUCCUCUUCUCUGUUUUUUGCUAGUCCUCCCGGUUUUGACCCUUGCCUGCCUUGACUCUGUACCUGCCUGCCUGACCAUACUGCCUGCCCUGACCUCGAGCCUGCCUGCCUCUCUGUACCUCCUGGACUCUGACCUUGUUAUGAUCUUUGCCUGUCCACGACCAUUCUCUUGCCUGCCCCUUGGAUUAUAAUAAAUAUCAGAGACUCUAA